This 378-nucleotide ribosomal RNA is filed under the name uncultured eukaryote. RNAcentral's name for it is "partial 18S ribosomal RNA". It matches the Rfam family "Eukaryotic small subunit ribosomal RNA", at positions 592 to 975 of the family's 1831-position model. The record is from RNAcentral.
CAAUAGCGUAUAUUUAAGUUGUUGCAGUUAAAAAGCUCGUAGUUGGAUUUCGGAUGGGACUUGCCGGUCCGGCGUUUCGAUGUGCACUGGCCAGUCCUAUCUUGUUGUCGGGGACUAGCUCCUGGGCUUCACUGUCCGGGACUAGGAGCUGACGAGGUUACUUUGAGUAAAUUAGAGUGUUCAAAGCAAGCCUACGCUCUGAAUACAUUAGCAUGGAAUAACACGAUAGGACUCUGGCUUAUCUUGUUGGUCUGUGAGACCAGAGUAAUGAUUAAGAGGGACAGUCGGGGGCAUUCGUAUUUCAUUGUCAGAGGUGAAAUUCUUGGAUUUAUGAAAGACGAACUUCUGCGAAAGCAUUUGUCAAGGAUGUUUUCAUUA